RNAcentral lists this ribosomal RNA (1968 nucleotides) under Salmonella enterica subsp. enterica serovar Typhi. RNAcentral describes it as "partial 23S ribosomal RNA". It matches the Rfam family "Bacterial large subunit ribosomal RNA", at positions 1 to 1883 of the family's 2925-position model. Lineage: Bacteria; Pseudomonadati; Pseudomonadota; Gammaproteobacteria; Enterobacterales; Enterobacteriaceae. The record is from RNAcentral.
GGGUUGUGAGGUUAAGCGACUAAGCGUACACGGUGGAUGCCCUGGCAGUCAGAGGCGAUGAAGGGCGUGCUAAUCUGCGAUAAGCGCCGGUAAGGUGAUAUGAACCGUUAUAACCGGCGAUACCCGAAUGGGGAAACCCAGUGUGAUUCGUCACACUAUCAUUAACUGAAUCCAUAGGUUAAUGAGGCGAACCGGGGGAACUGAAACAUCUAAGUACCCCGAGGAAAAGAAAUCAACCGAGAUUCCCCCAGUAGCGGCGAGCGAACGGGGAGGAGCCCAGAGCCUGAAUCAGCAUGUGUGUUAGUGGAAGCGUCUGGAAAGGCGCGCGAUACAGGGUGACAGCCCCGUACACAAAAGCGCAUAUGCUGUGAGCUCGAUGAGUAGGGCGGGACACGUGGUAUCCUGUCUGAAUAUGGGGGGACCAUCCUCCAAGGCUAAAUACUCCUGACUGACCGAUAGUGAACCAGUACCGUGAGGGAAAGGCGAAAAGAACCCCGGCGAGGGGAGUGAAAAAGAACCUGAAACCGUGUACGUACAAGCAGUGGGAGCCCCACCACUAAGCCAGUGGUGAACUCCACAUACGCAUCCUUUGCUGAGGAGACGGUUAACGGAGCGAAAGCGACGUUCAACCUCAAAAGAAGCAGAGGGGGCUUAGUGGUGGGGUGACUGCGUACCUUUUGUAUAAUGGGUCAGCGACUUAUAUUCUGUAGCAAGGUUAACUGUAUAGGGGAGCCGGAGGGAAACCGAGUCUUAACCGGGCGUUAAGUUGCAGGGUAUAGACCCGAAACCCGGUGAUCUAGCCAUGGGCAGGUUGAAGGUUGGGUAACACUAACUGGAGGACCGAACCGACUAAUGUUGAAAAAUUAGCGGAUGACCUGUGGCUGGGGGUGAAAGGCCAAUCAAACCGGGAGAUAGCUGGUUCUCCCCGAAAGCUAUUUAGGUAGCGCCUCGUGAAUUCAUCUCCGGGGGUAGAGCACUGUUUCGGCUAGGGGGCCAUCCCGGCUUACCAACCCGAUGCAAACUGCGAAUACCGGAGAAUGUUAUCACGGGAGACACACGGCGGGUGCUAAUGUCCGUCGUGAAGAGGGAAACAACCCAGACCGCCAGCUAAGGUCCCAAAGUCAUGGUUAAGUGGGAAACGAUGUGGGAAGGCCCAGACAGCCAGGAUGUUGGCUUAGAAGCAGCCAUCAUUUAAAGAAAGCGUAAUAGCUCACUGGUCGAGUCGGCCUGCGCGGAAGAUGUAACGGGGCUAAACCAUGCACCGAAGCUGCGGCAGCGACACCGUGUGUUGUUGGGUAGGGGAGCGUUCUGUAAGCCUGUGAAGGUGUGCUGUGAGGCAUGCUGGAGGUAUCAGAAGUGCGAAUGCUGACAUAAGUAACGAUAAAGCGGGUGAAAAGCCCGCUCGCCGGAAGACCAAGGGUUCCUGUCCAACGUUAAUCGGGGCAGGGUGAGUCGACCCCUAAGGCGAGGCCGAAAGGCGUAGUCGAUGGGAAACGGGUUAAUAUUCCCGUACUUGGUGUUACUGCGAAGGGGGGACGGAGAAGGCUAUGUUGGCCGGGCGACGGUUGUCCCGGUUUAAGCGUGUAGGUAUGUGUUCCAGGUAAAUCCGGUUCACUUUAACACUGAGGCGUGACGACGAGGCACUACGGUGCUGAAGCAACAAAUGCCCUGCUUCCAGGAAAAGCCUCUAAGCAUCAGGUAACAUCAAAUCGUACCCCAAACCGACACAGGUGGUCAGGUAGAGAAUACCAAGGCGCUUGAGAGAACUCGGGUGAAGGAACUAGGCAAAAUGGUGCCGUAACUUCGGGAGAAGGCACGCUGACACGUAGGUGAAGUGAUUUACUCACGGAGCUGAAGUCAGCCGAAGAUACCAGCUGGCUGCAACUGUUUAUUAAAAACACAGCACUGUGCAAACACGAAAGUGGACGUAUACGGUGUGACGCCUGCCCGGUGCCGGAAGGUUAAUUG